GCAUAACGCGAAGAACCUUACCAGGGCUUGACAUCCCUCUGAAAUCUCUAGAGAUAGAGGCUCCCUUCGGGGCAGAGGUGACAGGUGGUGCAUGGUUGUCGUCAGCUCGUGUCGUGAGAUGUUGGGUUAAGUCCCGCAACGAGCGCAACCCUUGUCCUUAGUUGCCAGCAUUUAGUUGGGCACUCUAAGGAGGCUGCCGUCGACAAGACGGAGGAAGGUGGGGACGACGUCAAAUCAUCAUGCCCCUUAUGUCCUGGGCUACACACGUGCUACAAUGGAUGGUACAACGGGCUGCGAACUCGCGAGAGUAAGCCAAUCCCAAAAAACCAUUCUCAGUUCGGAUUGUAGGCUGCAACUCGCCUACAUGAAGUCGGAAUCGCUAGUAAUCGCGGAUCAGCAUGCCGCGGUGAAUACGUUCCCCGGGGUCUUGUACACACCG
RNAcentral lists this ribosomal RNA (439 nucleotides) under uncultured bacterium. RNAcentral's name for it is "bacterial SSU rRNA". It matches the Rfam family "Bacterial small subunit ribosomal RNA", at positions 954 to 1392 of the family's 1533-position model. The record is from RNAcentral.